AACGAACGCUGGCGGCAGGCUUAACACAUGCAAGUCGAACGCUGGCAGCAAUGAACGAUUGGCGCACGAGGGAGAAACGAGGGGAGAGUAGCCUUUGGGGUCGGAAUAACCGCGGGAAACUGGGGCUAAUACCGGAUGGGUCCUACGGGAUUAAGAUCUAUCGACAAAAGAUGGAUGCGCGUCCGAUUAGCUAGUUGGUGAGGUAGUGGCUCACCAAGGCUACGAUCGGUAGCUGGUCUGAGAGGACGAUCAGACACCCUGGGACUGAGACACGUCCCAGAUUCCUACGGAAGGCAGCAGUGGGGACUAUUGGACACUGGGGGCAUCCCUGAUCCAGCCAUGCCGCGUGAGUGAUGAAGGCCUUCGGGUUGUAAAGCUCUUUUGGCGGGGACGCUGAUGACGGUACCCGCCGAAUAAGCCCCGGCUAACUUCGUG
RNAcentral lists this ribosomal RNA (435 nucleotides) under uncultured bacterium. RNAcentral's name for it is "partial 16S ribosomal RNA". It matches the Rfam family "Bacterial small subunit ribosomal RNA", at positions 29 to 507 of the family's 1533-position model. The record is from RNAcentral.